Molecule: ribosomal RNA, 454 nt
Filed under: uncultured bacterium
Lineage: Bacteria
Description: partial 16S ribosomal RNA
Rfam family: Bacterial small subunit ribosomal RNA
Source: RNAcentral
GAUGAACGCUGACAGAAUGCUUAACACAUGCAAGUCAACUUGAACUUCGGUUUGGGUGGCGGACGGGUGAGUAACGCGUAAAGAACUUGCCUCACAGAUAGGGACAACAUUUGGAAACGAAUGCUAAUACCUGAUAUUAUGAUUAUAUGGCAUCGUAUAAUUAUGACAGCUAUAUGCGCUGUGAGAGAGCUUUGCGUCCCAUUAGCUAGUUGGAGAGGUAACGGCUCACCAAGGCGAUGAUGGGUAGCCGGCCUGAGAGGGUGAUCGGCCACAAGGGGACUGAGACACGGCCCUUACUCCUACGGGAGGCAGCAGUGGGGAAUAUUGGACAAUGGACCAAGAGUCUGAUCCAGCAAUUCUGUGUGCACGAUGAAGUUUUUCGGAAUGUAAAGUGCUUUCAGUUGGGAAGAAAAAAAUGACGGUACCAACAGAAGAAGUGACGGCUAAAUACGUG